Molecule: transfer RNA, 90 nt
Filed under: Paraburkholderia sp.
Lineage: Bacteria; Pseudomonadati; Pseudomonadota; Betaproteobacteria; Burkholderiales; Burkholderiaceae
Also listed under: 2 other names
Description: tRNA-Ser
Rfam family: tRNA
About the family: Transfer RNA (tRNA) molecules are approximately 80 nucleotides in length. Their secondary structure includes four short double-helical elements and three loops (D, anti-codon, and T loops). Further hydrogen bonds mediate the characteristic L-shaped molecular structure. tRNAs have two regions of fundamental functional importance: the anti-codon, which is responsible for specific mRNA codon recognition, and the 3' end, to which the tRNAs corresponding amino acid is attached (by aminoacyl-tRNA synthetases). tRNAs cope with the degeneracy of the genetic code in two manners: having more than one tRNA (with a specific anti-codon) for a particular amino acid; and 'wobble' base-pairing, i.e. permitting non-standard base-pairing at the 3rd anti-codon position.
Source: RNAcentral
GGAGGCGUGGCCGAGCGGUUUAAGGCACCGGUCUUGAAAACCGGCGAAGGAGUGAUCCUUCCGUGAGUUCGAAUCUCACCGCCUCCGCCA